UACGGAGGAUGCGAGCGUUAUCCGGAUUUAUUGGGUUUAAAGGGUGCGUAGGCGGUAUGUCAAGUCUGAUGUUAAAGCCCGGGGCUCAACUCCGGUUCGGCAUUGGAUACUGGCAAACUAGAAUGUGGUAGAGGUAAAGGGAAUUCCUGGUGUAGCGGUGAAAUGCGUAGAUAUCAGGAGGAACAUCGGUGGCGAAAGCGCUUUACUGGACCAUUAUUGACGCUGAGGAACGAAAGCCAGGGGAGCAAAUGGG
This 253-nucleotide ribosomal RNA is filed under the name uncultured cyanobacterium. RNAcentral describes it as "partial 16S ribosomal RNA". It matches the Rfam family "Bacterial small subunit ribosomal RNA", at positions 524 to 776 of the family's 1533-position model. The record is from RNAcentral. Lineage: Bacteria; Bacillati; Cyanobacteriota.